Molecule: ribosomal RNA, 439 nt
Filed under: soil bacterium 13V-13
Lineage: Bacteria
Description: bacterial SSU rRNA
Rfam family: Bacterial small subunit ribosomal RNA
Source: RNAcentral
CAGGAUGAACGCUAGCGGCAGGCUUAAUACAUGCAAGGCGAAGGGGCAGCAAUGUCACUGUCGUACGGGUGCGUAACGCGUAUGCAACCUACCUAUCACUGGGGGAUAGCCCGGGGAAACCCGGAUUAAUACCGCAUAAAACAGGGGCACCGCAUGGUGAUAUUUGUUAAAGAUUUAUUGGUGAUAGAUGGGCAUGCGUUCGAUUAGCUAGUUGGCGGGGUAACGGCCCACCAAGGCGACGAUCGAUAGGGGAGCUGAGAGGUUGAUCCCCCACACGGGCACUGAGAUACGGGCCCGACUCCUACGGGAGGCAGCAGUAGGGAAUAUUGGGCAAUGGAUGCAAGUCUGACCCAGCCAUGCCGCGUGCCGGAUGAAGGCCCUCAGGGUUGUAAACGGCUUUUAUUCGGGAAGAAGAGCAGGGAUGCGUCCUUGUGUGACG